UUUCUGCAGCAGAUUUCAUUUCUUUCACAUAAUUUAUUAAUCCAAAAAUGGCUUCCCGUUUUUCUAAUGCCAAGAUCGUAUCUUCUUUCAUCGCCAACACAGUCUGCCCUGUUGUCACCAGGUAUUUGAUUAUUCUAUACUAAAACAGUUCCUUUUUUUGCGUUUUAAUAGAUUUCAAGGUAUUAAUUUAAGCUUCUAGAAGAGAUAAUUAACAUUUGUGGAAUCAUUACUGACGUGUUAAUUUGUAUGGAUAUUUGUACAGGAGAGGAUAUGCGGCGGCAAGCAGUGUGAGAGGAGGAGCGGUGGCUCCAAAUAUGAUUUUAAAGAAGGGAAUUGAUGAAUCAACAAAGACAUCAUGGGUACCUGACCCGGUGACCGGAUAUUACCGGCCGGAGAAUGAAGCCAAGGAGAUUGACGCCGCUGAGUUGCGGGCACAGCACUUGAAGAACACAACCAGUAGCCACUAAAUCGAAGAAUUAUUACAAUCUGAUUUUGGCUCCAUUUAUUCUACUAAUUAAAUGGAAUCCAUUGUUUUUCGUCAGAAAUUGUUCUACUGUUAUUGAAUUGAAUAUGUGCACUGAAUUGUUGUACGUCCUCAGCCAUUCUUGUGCUAUUAAUGAAUUUGAAUUUCAUAGCAAUUUUAAGCAUGUUUGGCAAAGCUUAAGUUAGAAUUUAAGCAAAUAUUUUGUAUUAACAUAUUCUAUGUGACUUAGCUGCAUAAAUUGUAACUUAAGCACUCCCAAACAAGCAGUAAGAAAGAUUUUUUGAAUAGAGAAAAAUUUUGUAAUUCAUAAAUAAUAACCAGUUAUUUGUAAGAUAGAAGAACAAUCUUAUAGUUAUGAUUUUGCAUAUUGCAACAAUUACUCUCAUUCUUAAAUAUCAAACUUAAUCCAAUUCAAUCAAUUAAUUUAUAUAAUGAUAAAACUCAAUUGCAUGUUUUCUCUUUUUGGUGAUUUCACGAGGACUAACCGCCAUGUUUCGUUGAAGAGUCGAUUUAAAAUAACUUUCCAUACGAUUUAGAUAUUAUUUCUGUCCAAAUCCUCGCUUUUGAUUCGAAAAGAAACUAAAAAAUACUUAAUUUCCACAGGAAUUACAUGCCAAUUUAUGAUAAACUACUUUAUAAGAAAGAUGGCGAGGCCGAAUAACAAUCAACCUCCCUAAGUUUGGAGAGUAACUCGGUCAUUCACUAUACUUCCUUUCUCUCUCCCCUUACUAACGAAGUACAUUAAGCUAAAAUACUAUCCCCUACUUUAUGAUCUUUGAACUAACUUCUCUCAAAUAACUUCUUAUUUCAAUUAUAUUUACAAGAAUAAUGCUAUUUACAAUUAUUCACUAUCGCAGUCGUCAUACACGACAUACAUGUAAUGGUUAGUGAUUUGAUAUAUGAGACUUAAAAAAAACUAACACACGAGUACAUCAAAUUAUAAAUCACCACAUAAGAUAUUACGUAGGAUGACUACCGUAAUAAACGAUCAUGAAUAGUAUUACUUGCAUAUUCUUACUUUGAACUAUGAUACUUUUAAAAGAAACUCUUAUGUAACUACCUAAAUAAAUAGUUUACUUUAUUUAAAUUAAAUAAAAUAACUAUUGUUUUAAGACUUAUUUAUCUUAAAUAAAUCUACUUACGUAUAUUCUAAACUUUAUUUUCAAUAAAUUUGAGCUCAAGUGUAUGCUUUAUCUACUGCAAUACUCCCACGUAUCAUUCAUGCAUCAAUUUCGUGGGUGUCUUGAAAACGACAAGCAAUAAUAUUGGCCUGACGCAGCCGAUUAGUUGAAGCGGCCCCACUUUACACUUACAUAGGUGACCUUCUAUUAAGAGUAUUCUGCCCUACUCCACUUGACUUAAUCAAGAUAUAGAAAUCACUAAAAGAUUAUCUUAACUUCUUACAACUCUAUAGAAAGCACUUUAGUCUCAUAGGAAUGAGUUAGGAAAUUAUUUUCCUAAGUGUUUCGUGGAAUCCUCAUAACUUAGUUGUCCCUUUGAACCAAGAUCUUGGGAUCUCCAGUCAACAAGGUAGGGUUACCAUUACAAGGACUCUAACGUAGUAGGCUUCAAUCUCAUUCUCUUCAAUAUGCAGUCUUCUUGAUCUCUCUUACUAAAUCUCUUUUAAAGGUACCACGAGUUUACACCAUUGAGAUCAACUGCUUAAUGGUAUUAUGUCUAUGACUUAUACGUCUAGAUCUACCAUUACAUGUGACUUAGUAUCUUAUCAAAUAUAGCGAGCCAACGAUCAAUUUAUUUGAUACGUACAAAUUUUCGCCACCAAGAAAUCCUCUAAAGCUUUAUCAAUUUUCAAAUACGGUUGGAGGAUUUCUAUCAAACACUACACUAGUCAAUCACUUUUACUAGUGGAUUUCAGAAUCAUGGGUAUUCAAUAUCAUCAUUGAAAUAUUACCAUGCAUUUGAACUUUAUGAAUAUUCUUCAAAUAUUCCAAUUGUUCUUGCAAGUCCAAACAAUCGCCACAAUUGGCUUCCAUCCAUUUAAUCCACCUUAAACUUAGUGUAUAUCAUCCUUAUAAUUAGUAUAAGGGUUUUCUAUCUUUCUACCUUCAUGGAUAUAUUUCUAUGACUAUAAGAUAGAAGCAAAUGUAACUAUUAAACUGAGUUACCCCCACAAUUUCUCAAUUAGGAAUACAUAUGUAAUCUAGUAAUGUUGCAUCCACAAGUUUUGAACUUUCAAUUUCAAGUUCACAAGCAUUAAAUUUAAACCCCCCACAUUAUUGGUUUAUAGUAGAACUUAGAAUUCAGCAACUCUUUUAUAGUUCUAUUUAUUUAUCUCUUAGAUAAUAUUCGUAUCGAGUGCUUCGUGAAAGUCUAUGUACUUUCAAAGUAGUGGUCAUUAACUUGCAUAUAAUGUACUUGUUCGUCAAAUUCCCGCAAGCGUACGAGUUCGUUGUACAAGUAAUAAUCGUGAUGAGAGAGUUAUCGUCCCACAGGGAAUAAUGAUCAAUUUUUGUAUAUUUGAUAUAUUCAAAUUCGUGUUUGUAACUAAAAGACUAUCAAAGGACUAGCUAAAUAAUUUUUAUAACUAAAACUUGUAAAAACAAUUAAGGUUGGUGUAAAAAUCAAAUGUACGAACGUAUUGGAUUUCCGACGCUAUUGAUCAAUUCUUAGUUCUAAUUCCCAACUAGUGAUAAUUAUCUCAAUUUAUGCAAUUAUGACGAUCGAUAAUUUCACUAUUAUUUAUUAUUCUUUUCCAAGAUAUAAUAAAUCUAUGUUUACCAUGAGACGGUCCUAUUCCUAGUCCGAAUUCAUAUGGUGAACAUGCAUUGACAUCUAGGAUUAUUACAUAUGAUCGCACACGCCACAAAUAUUAUUUCUAAUGUUUAUUGCCCGUGUGUUCCAAUAACAGUGUUCUACCUAUCGUGAGUUUUCCAAAACAAUGAAUAAGCAACUUAUUGUCCUAAUGGUGUGCAAACAUUAAAACAAUGUAAAUAGGCAUAUUAAUGGAAUUACAACACAAGAAUUAAAGAUAAACACAAGUCUCGAAUUAAAACUAAAAUUUAAACAACUUUGUCAUCCAUCCAAUAUAGAAAAAAAUUAGCCUAGCAUAUUGUUGGAAUUAAACAAAGAAAAGUGGAAGGAAAUCACCAAAAAUCGACAGGACAUGAUUGACUCCACGAAUUUGCUCGACUUUUGCACGUGUAUGUUGAUUUCCCCCAAGCAGCCCUUUUUCAAUAUGUCUUUGGCCCAAUUAUGUGUGUUGUUUCUAUAUAAAAAUCAGCAAGCUACCGGCAAAUAUUCUCUGCAAUUUCCGUCAACAAUGUGGUUGUAAUCCCCGAUUGUAUGCUGCCAAAUUGUGUGUGUAGUAUAUAUAAAAAAAUCAGCCCAAAUCCAUGCAAUUAUACAUAUAGGCAGCCUGGUUACGUAUGUAUAUAUAUGAUAAAAGACCAGCAGCACUUUUUCCUUUGGGCAGCCGCCAAUUUUAUUCCAAAGUUGCCAAGUUUAUUUCUUUCCAGCCGGCCACUUGUGUAUCUUUUUAACUCCAGCAGCUGCCCACCGUUUUUGUAUAUAUUCUCAACAGGGUAGCCGAAUUGUCCCCAAUUAAUUCAACCUCAAGCAGCCUCCUUUUCUCUCCAAAUUCCUUUCUUUUUUCUGCCGGCAGUUUCGCUCCUUUGCAGCCACCAACUUAGUUUUUGAAAAUAAUAAAUUCAGCCCAAUGUUUGAACUCACAAGAAGUCGUUUUUAUUUUUUGGAGACCAAGUCAAUCCGGUUGGUUGGAUUUAAUUAAAGUCCAAUUGCCUUUGAACACAAAUCCAAACUUAAGGCCCAUUUAAAUUAGACAAGCCCUCAAUUCUUUCACAUAAUGCAAGUUAAUCCUUGAUACAAUUUUAUUUGUGCAACCAUUGUCCUUCUUCCUUUCCACUUGCUUCAAACGGGUCCAUCACUAAAAACACAAAGAAAAAUAACCUAAAUUAAAUGGAAAUUAAUAAUGUGACAACUUAAAAGUUUAAUAAUGUGGCAUAAAUAAGGGCACAAAUUGCACUUAUCAAACAUUCCCAAACUUAAACCUUUGUUCGUCCUCGAACAAAACUAUAACUUAAAUAGAAACAAACACACAAGCAAGCACAAAUAUUUGGUUGGACCAUUUAGUUUUUUAUCUCAGGAUUUGAAAUCACGUCAUUAAAUUUAAAAACUACUUCAAAGUCGUAAUACCAAACUAAUAUCCACUUUUCCAAUGCAAAAUCGACGUGUGUGUGUGAAGAACUAAGUAGGCAUUAAUGAAUUCACAAGUUAUUCCAAUUCCCAACCCUCUAUGGUCAAAUAUAUCUUUUCAUCUCUCGUAAGAUUCACACUCUCCCAAACUUAUUCUUUUUCACUCUUUUUCCCAGUGUGUGAUCUAAGAUUGAAUUUUUCAUUACUAUCCUCACUCUCUCCAAUUCAGGUGGACGUCACUAGUUGCAAGUCAACACAUCAAUGAAUAAGGAUUCUCCAAUUAUUAUUUGCUUUGACCAUCAAAAUUCAAUUAGGCUAAUUAUCCUUUAUCGAAAGUUAAAUUUCCUCGAACAAGUGUUGGGACUUACAAGGCAUUUAGUAUUUUUUUAUUAUUAUUAUUUUUUUUGCACUCUCCCUUAAGCUUUCUAGAUGACCCAUGUAGUAGGCUUUAAGCCGAUAACUCCCAAAUCAGAUGACUUUAGGGCACCAGAUUUUCAAUUACCCUUAGAGGCUUAAUAACCUGAGUCAAAAAGGCUUCGAAGAGAACAAUUUUUUUUGGGUAAUUUUCUCUCUGAUUGCUUUUUAAAUGACCCCUGUAACGAGCUUUAGAUCGAUGACUCCCAAGUCAGAUGACUUUAGGGCACUAGGCUUUAAGAUACUCUUGCAGGUUUAAUUGCUCGAGUCAUAAAAGCUCAAAUUAAAUUUCAAAAUAUAUGCCUUGAUUAGUGCAAUGUCCCUUAUCAUACACCUAUUCUAGCAAAUCGACCUCCCAUUUAAGACUUUCACCUAAUUUUAUCCUAUUAAUCUCAGAAACUCCACACAAAAUUUUUUCACACAAAGAAUCCACAUUUACAUCCGCAUUUUCCUACAACAGCAAGAUCUCCCCAAACUGUACUGAAUUUGGUCUAAGGAUAAAUAAUUAGUAUAGUUUUUGGUAAAGUAUCUAUGUCCAACUAAUUCAAUCUAUCAAGUGCAUGAAUCAACUCAUUUAAUCAUAAUGUCAGCUUAGUUCUAGUGCAUGUAUAAUAUCAAGUUUUGCAAGUUCAAGCUUCAAUCAAUCUAGCAUGCUUCCUAUCCACAGUUCAUAAAUCAAUGCCAAAUCUCAAACUUAAUCAUUAUUGUCAGCCAAACCGUCUAACCCACACAAGCACACAAUAAAAAAAAUAAAAUAAAAAUUUAACGAUUAUUAUUAUUAUUAUUAUUAUUUUAACAUAUGUAAACAACGCACGAAACAUACGAAAACCAAAAACACAAAGUGUUUCCCAUACCCCCAAAUUUAAGUCCGACAUUGUCCUCAAUGUCUUAAAAUAUAAUUAAGAAUAUAAGGGGACGGGGAAGAAAAGGACGAAGGUACUCCCUGAAUUUUUCUAUUGAACGUGGAAGAUACUGUAGGUGACGGCUAGACAAUCUUUCUCAUCAUACUUUCCCCUUGGUCGAUAUUGGUUUGAGUGUUCUACGACGUCAUGUUCCUGCAUAUGGCAAUCAAAUCAAACAGUAGAGAUAAAAAAAAAUCCAAAAUAUGCGUUACUUAGCCUAAACACUCGAAAUAACCAAUGAUGCUACCAAAAAAUAUCACCUGAAAGAUCUUGAGCUUGAUGGUCCAACUUCACUUUGAUGAACACAAUCGGUCUGUGAAUACCUGCAACAAAGGCAACGAGGUGUGUGCUCGUCGCCCCUCCGAUGCUUAAGUCAAAUAGAGAAUUUAGUGCUUGAGGUUAUAAAUUGAAGAUAAUGAAAAAACGUACCUUAAUGUUAAGCCUUGGCCAAGUAUUUAUAGGUGUUGGUGGGGGAGUUGUAGAAGGAUUCUAUUAUUGAAAGAGUCCUUUCCCCCUUAGGAUUAGGUGUUGGAGUUUGAUUAGAAGUAUUCUGUUAGAGUUCUAAUCAGGGGAGGAGUAGACUUAGAUGGGGUCUAUUUUCUGUUGGAGAUUAAGUCGGUGGGCAGGGUUGGAUUAGAGACCCCGACCUUAAGGAAACCCCGACCUCAAACCGGCAUAACACACUAAGAUCAACUCGGGGUAUUAGGUCGAGGUCAAUCAUGGCACUCGAAUUCAGGUAUAGUUCGGGGUUACCAAUCCGGAAUCAUCAACCAACAUUAUAUUUAAGAGCCUCAAUGAAAACAUGAUCGGAUGAUGAUACUCUAUAAAUUUAAACGUGCCUAAAUCUAAUGCAACUAAUAAUUAAAACAAAUCUAUAUGUAAUGCGAUACAGAAAACAAAAUAAAUAAAAGGUUUAGAAAUUGGGUUGUUUCCCAAUAAGCGCUUAAUUUAUAGUCUUUAGCUAGACUUUGUUUUUCUGGCUACUCUACAUUAUCAAGUGGUACGGUUGUUUUUUCACUGGAGUAAUCACCUCUCCAAUAAGCUUUCAAUCGUUGUCUAUUUACUUUGAACCUCCUUUGUUGAUCUUGAGACACCACUUCCACAGCACCAUGUGGAAACACAGCUACUACUGUGAAUGGACCCGACCACCUAGACUUUAGCUUUCCCGAAAAAAGCUUGAGGCGUGAAUUGAACAUCAAUACUUGUUGACCAAUCUCAAACUCCUUCUCCCUUAUAUACCUGUCGUGCCAUCUCUUGGUUUUUUCUUGUAAAUCUUUGCAUUCUCAUACGAAUCUAAACAAAACUCAUCUAGCUCAUGAAGUUGUAGAAUCCUCUUUUCUCCUGCUGCUCUCAUAUUGAAAUUGAGCAAGUGUGUCGCCCAGUAUGCUUUAUGCUCUAACUCAACCAACAGAUGACAAGCCUUUCCAAAUAGCAGUCGAUAUGGAGAUAUGCCAAUUAGAGUCUUAAAUGCUGUUCUAUACGCCCAAAGUGCAUCUUCUAGUUUUUUAGCCGAAUCUUUACGUGAUGCAUUGACCGUAGCUUCGAGAAUCUUCUUUAACUCCCUGUUAGAGAUUUCCACAUGCCCGCUAGUCUGAGGGUGGUAUGGAGUCGAGACACGAUAUUUCACUCCAUAUUUGGCCAACAAAGAAGCAAAUAAGCAGUUACAAAAAUUCUUUCCACCAUCACUAAUAAUUGCCCUCGGGGUGCCAUACCUUGUGAAAAUAUUCUUCUUCAGGAAUUGAGUUACCACUCGACCAUCGUUAGUUGGUAAAGCUAUAUCUUCAACCCACUUAGACACGUAGUCCACUGCCACUAAUAUAAAUUGUUCACCAUAGGAUGGAGAAAAUGCCCCAAACAUCGAAUAUUUCAACCUCCAAGAUAUUGUUCAAAGGCAUCUCAUUCCUCCUUGAGAUAUUUCCAGUCCUUUGGCACUUAUCACAAUGUUUCACCAUAUAGUGGGCGUCCUUGAACAACGUAGGCCAAUAAAAACUCGAUUGCAGUACCUUUGCUGCUGUCUUGGUUGCUGCGAAGUGGCCCCCAUACGGUGCAGAGUGACAUGACUCUAAUAUUUGAUGCUGCUCCACCUCUGGCACACAACGGCAUAUGAUUUGAUCUAGACCCCUUCUGUAAAGAAUUGGAUCAUCCCAAAAGUAGUGUUUUAUGUCACUGAAGAAUUUCUUCUUUUGGUGACUUGAGUAGUCUGGUGGGAUGAUGGAGCGGGCCAAAUAAUUGACAUAAUCGACGUACCAUGGUGUAGUGAUAAUCUGAAAGAGCAUUUCAUCAGGAAAGACUUCAUUGAUCUCCAAUGUAAGACUUGACUCAUGUGAUUCAAGGCGUGAGAGGUGAUCUGCCACAACAUUCUCACUCCUCUUUUUAUCUCUAAUUUCCAGAUCAAACUCUUGCAAUAGGAGUAUCCAACGAAUAAGUCUCGGCUAUGCAUCCUUCUUGCUCAUUAGAUAUUUUAAUGCUGAAUGAUCUGUAUAGACAAUCACUUUUGACCCAAUCAAGUAUGAUCUGAAUUUGUCAACGGUGAACACUACUGCCAACAGCUCGUUCUCUGUAGUCGUAUAAUUCAUUUGAGCUUCAUCCAAAGUCUUACUGGCAUAGUGAAUCACAUGAGAACUUUUCUCCUCUCGUUGACCCAACACUGCGCCCACUGUGUGAUCACUGGCAUCACACAUAAGCUCGAAUGGGUAAGUCCAAUCUGGAGAAGCCAAUACUGGAGCAGAAACCAAUUUUUCUUUUAAGGCGUUGAAAGCUGUCAAGCAUUCCUCAGAGAAGUGAAAUGGGGUCCCUUUUUCUAGUAAAUUGUACAAUGGCUUCGAGAUUUUGGAAAAGUCUUUGAUGAAGCGACGGUAAAACCCAGCGUGACCCAGAAAACUUCUAACUCCUUUUACUGUUACAGGCGGUGGUAGUUUUUCGAUGACUUGUAUCUUAGCUCUAUCAACCUCAAUACCCCGUGCUGAAAUUAAAUGUCCUAACACAAUCCCUUCAUGUACCAUGAAAUGACAUUUUUCCCAAUUUAAUACGAGGUUUGUGUCUUCACACCGUUGUAACACUUUUUCCAAAUGUUCAAGGCAUUCCUUGAAUGAUUUUCCAAACACUGAGAAAUCAUCCAUAAACACCUCAAUAAUAUGUCCCACCAUGUCUGAAAAAAUAGACAUUCUAUAGCGCUGAAAGGUGGCUGGAGCAUUGCAAAGGUCGAAUGUCAUCCUCCUAUAAGCAAAAGUGCCAUAAGGGUAUGUAAAGGUCAUCUUCUCUUGGUCAUCUGGUGCUAUAAGAAUUUGGUUGUACCCCGAAUAACCAUCCAGGAAGCAAUAGUACGCACGUCCAGCAAGUCUCUCCAGCAUCUGAUCAAUGAAAGGAAGGGAAAAGUGAUCCUUCCUUGUGGCGUUGUUGAGUUUGCGAUAAUCAAUGCAAACUCUCCAACCCGUGACUGUGCGUGUCGGGAUGAGCUCAUUGUUUUCAUUUGGAACCACUGUGAUCCCUCCCUUUUUCGGUACGACUUGUACUGGACUUACCUAAUGACUGUCUAAUAUGGGAUAGAUGAUCCCUGUAUCCAGAACCUUUAAUAUCUCUUUCCUUACCACUUCCUGCAUAGUCGAAUUUAAUCUGCAUUGAUGCUCAAUUGAAGCUUUGUAAUCAUCUUCUAUCAGUAUUUUAUGCAUGCAAAGCGAAGGGCUGAUCCCUUUUAUAUCCGAUAUCGUCCAUCCUAUUGCUGUCUUAUGCUCUCGAAGCACCCUCAGCAAUUGAUCCUCCUCCACUUCUGUAAGAUUGUUUGAGAUGAUUACUGGAAGUGAAUUCUUUUCCCCCAAGUAUGCAUAAUGAAGAUGAGUUGGCAGUUGUUUGAGUUCAAGAGCUGGAGCUUAUUCUAUAGAUGGUAAAGGUGUUGUGGGUCUUUCACUGAGCUCCAGUCGUGGUUGCUUGAAGAAUGGUGGUAUGACUGCCAAAUAACGUGUACAUUCUUCUACUUCCUCCUUUUCUGAUGGUAAAUCUUGUGAAUGCACUAAACAAGCCUUAAGCGGAUCUUGAGGGUGAUCUAGUUUGAAUGUCUCUGACACCGCUUCUUUUAUUACAUCAAUCUGCAUGCAAGAAUUCGGUUCGCUCUGAAAUCUGAAACCUCUAAACACGUUGAUUGUCAAUUCUUCUCCAUUUAACCUCAAUAUCAACUGACCAUUUUGCACAUCUAUCAGAGCUCUUCCCGUAGCCAAAAUGGACGACCCAGUAUGAGGAAAACGUCUCUAUCUUCUUCCAUAUCCAAAAUAAUGAAGUCCGCUGGGAAGAUAAACUUGUCAACUUUUACCAAAAUAUCUUCACAAAUACUACGAGGGUGUCUGAUCGACCUGUCAGUCAAUUGCAGUGAAACUGUAGUUGGUUUUGCUUCCCCCAAACCUAGUUUUUGAAAAAGAGAUAAAGGCAUUAAAUUAAUGCUAGCUCCUAGAUCACACAAUGCCUUAUCUAUAUACAAGUUACCAAUGUGACAAGGAAUAGUAAAACUCCCUGGGUCUUUUAGUUUCGGUGGUAAUUUGUGUUGGAGAAUUGCGCUACACUCCUCAGUAAGCAUGACUGUUUCAUUGUCUUCCAGCUUCUUCUUAUUUGAUAGAAUGUCUUUCAUGAACUUGGUAUAGCUGGGCAUUUGGGCUAAAGUUUCAGCAAAUGGUAUGUUAAUGUGCAGCUUCUUGAACACAUCCAAAAAUUCUUGGAAUUGCUUGUUGAGCUUAUGUUUUUGCAAUCUCUGUGGAAAUGGGAUUGGAGGAACAUAUGCUUUGAUAGGAGCAGUUGCUUUUACCUGUGGACUAUCUGAUGAUUCAACUUGAUUUUCCUCAGUGGCCUUGUCUAAUUCAUCCACUUGCUCCUCGUCCAUGGUAGGUGCCACUACGUGUAGUGAUUGCUUUGACCUGCUCCUUAGAAUUUGUUUCAGUAUUACUAGGCAAUGUCCCUUGAGCUCUACCUGAUAGUGCGGUUGCAAUUUGUCCAACUUGUUGUUCCAAAUUCUUGAUCGAGGCUUGUUGGUUUUGAAAGUUGGUCUCAGUUUUAGUAAUAUAUUGAGCCAGCAAAUCUUCCAAUGAUGGCCUUCUCCCUUGCUGUUGUUGCUGUUGGAAUCCUGGUGGUUUAUUCUGAUUGCUUCCUCCCUGUUCUUGUCCUUGAUUAUUGGACCAUGAAUAAUUUGGAUGGUUCUUCCAACCUGGAUUAAAUGUGUUGGAGAAAGGAUUAUUAUGAUGUCUCUGAAUGUUCUGUGUGUAGCUUACUUCUUUGGAUUGAUUAACAUGUACAGACGCCAAAGGGCAGCGUGUACUAGCAUGAUUCGCUCCACAGCCUUCACAAACAGGUGGCGAUUGGUAUACCAUGUUGACUGACUUAGAUAGAUUGUCCAUUUUCACUGUAAGAACUUCCAUUUGCGCGGCCAGUGCUGUCACUGCAUCUACAUUGUGUAACCCUGAUGUUUUUCUUGGAGCUUCCCUAUCAGUUGGCCACAUCGAUUGGUUUUCAGCUAUUUUUUCAUACAGGUCAUAUGCCUCAUCCACGUCCAGUUUCAUCACUGAUCCUCCUGCUGAAGCAUCUAUCAUAUUUCUAAACUCUUGUUUUAGACCGUAGUAGAAAAGAUAUUGCUGAGCCUGUUUGGGAAUGUCAAGGUUGGGGCAUUUUCUCAAAAAAUUCUUGAACCUCUCCCAUGCCUCAGGAUAGCUCUCUAAAUCUUUCUGCUUGAAAGUGUGAACGUCAUUCCUAAUUUGGUGAAUUCGAGAAGGUGGAAAGAAUUUCAUCGUGAAUUUUUGAACCAUAUCGUUCCAUGAUUGAAUGCUUUCCGGUGGUAAACAAAGAAACCAUUCUCUAGUAGCAUCCUUUAAGGUGUGAGGGAAUAAUCUCAUAUCGGAAUGCAUCUGCUGAUAUCCCUUCGUGACUGAUCACGUCACAUAACAUGAGAAACGCAGAAAUAUGCUCAUGAGGAUUUUUUUGGCUUUUCCAAAGAACCUGAUUUAUUGGUGAUUUUGAAACAAAUUGAUGACGUUUGGUCGAAGGUGGAAAUUAGGUUGUCCAAAGGGAGGGUAUACCAAAGCAGGUUGCACUGGUACAGGAAUUAGAUUAAUGUGAUCUCCAACUAAGACAGGAGCUUCGUUCUGGUUAGCUCUCAGUUGAUUUGGCUGCGGUACUGGCUCAUGAAGCUGAACUUGAUUUUGGUUAUCAGCCAUUCUCCUUACUUGACGUUGAACUCUUCUGCGAUUUCUAAAUGUUCUUUCGAUUUCGUGGUCUAUUGGAAAGAGAUCUGGCUCGUCAGGAUUUUGCAUAAACUAAAGUUGCCUAAAAAGUGUAAUGAUAGCCAAAAAACAACUAAAAAUAAAAUGAAAAUAAAAACAAUAAUAAAUAAAUAAAAACGAAUCUAAAAUAUCUAACAACUAAAAUUAACACCGUUAUUUCUCGGCAACGGCGCCAAAAACUUGUUCGUCAAAUUCCCGCAAGCGUACGGGUUCGUUGUACAAGUAAUAAUCGUGAUGAGAGAGUUAUCGUCCUACAAGGAGUAAGGAUCAAUUUUAGUAUAUUUGAUAUAUUCAAAUUCGUGUUUGUAACUAAAAGACUAUCGAAGGACUAGCUAAAUAAUUUUUAUAACUAAAACUUGUAAAAACAAUUAAGGUUGGUGUAAAAAUCAAAUGUUCGAACGUAUUGGAUUUCCGACGCCAUUGAUCGAUUCUUAGUUCUAAUUCUCAACUAGUGAUAAUUAUCUCAAUUUAUGCAAUUAUGACGAUCGAUAAUUCCACUAUUAUUUAUUAUUCUUUUUCAAGAUAUAAUAAACCUAUGUUUACCAUGAGACGGUCCUAUUCUUAGUCCGAAUUCAUAUGGUGAACAUGCACUGACAUCUAGGAUUAUUACAUAUGAUCGCACACGCCACAAAUAUUAUUCCUAAUGUUUAUUGUCCGUAUGUUCCAAUAAUAGUGUUCUACAUAUCGUGAGUUUUUCAAAACAACGAAUAAGUAACUUAUUGUCCUAAUGGUGCGUAAACAUUAAAACAAUGUAAAUAGGCAUAUUAAUGGAAUCACAACACAAGAAUUAAAGAUAAACACAAGUCUCGAAUUAAAACUAAAAGUUAAACAACUUUGUCAUUCAUCCAAUAUAGGAAAAAAAUUAGCCUAACAUACUGUUGGAAUUAAACAAAGAAAAGUGGAAGGAAAUCACCGAAAAUCGACGGGACAUGAUUGACUCCACGAAUUUGCUCGACUUUUGCACGUGUAUGUUGAUUUCCCCCAAGCAGCCCUUUUUCAAUAUGUCUUUGGCCCAAUUAUGUGUGUUGUUUCUAUAUAAAAAUCAGAAAGCUGUCGGCAAAUAUUCUCUGCAAUUUCCGUCGACAAUGUGGUUGUAAUCCCCGGUUGGCACUCAAUUCUUUCCUCCAGUGUGCUCCCAAAUUGUGUGUGUAGUAUAUAUAUAUAUAAAUCAGCCCAAAUCCAUGCAAUUAUACGUAUAGGCAGCCUGGUUACGUAUGUAUAUAUAUGAUAAAAGACCAGCAUCACUUUUUCCUUUGGGAAGCCGCCAAUUUUAUUCCAUAGUUGCCAAGUUUAUUUCUUUCCAGCGGCCACUUGUGUAUCUUUUUAACUCCAGCAGCUGCCCACCGUUUUUGUAUAUAUUCUUACCAAGGUAGCCGAAUUGUCCCCAAUUAAUUCAACCUCAAGAGCCUCCUUUUCUCUCCAAAUUCCUUUCUUUUUUCUGCCGGCGGUUUUUCUCCAUUGCAGCCACCAACUUAGUUUUUGAAAAUAAUAAAUUCAGCCCAAUGUUUGAACUCACAAGCAGCCGCCGGUAAUUGUCUAGGUUAGUCUCCCCCUCCCUUCUAAUGCAUGUGGAUAGGCUUAAUAAUUAUAUCAAAAGUCAUGGUUUUUCAUAUGAAAGGACGCACAUUUUCAUCUAAAUUGAUACUAGAAUAUUUCAUAAUAUUCUACACAAUUUUCUACAAUUUCAAAUAAUUAAGUGGCUUAAUUCUCAUUACUAAAUAAUGGUAUCCACUUAAAUCAUCUCACUUAAUUUUAUCAAAUUAAUUGAGGCUAUUAUCAUGGUCAAAGUUAGUAUAAUUUCAAUAAGAUAUGAAAUUUUAACCAACUAAUUUACCAUGCCAUUAUCAUAUUCUAAUCAAAGGGAUUGUCAUGAAAUUUCAUAUACCUUCGUCAAAUAAUUGGCAUCCUUAUAUGUCCAAUGGUUAGGAAUACUUUCCUCAUUUCCAUCCAUUCAUUAUUGGACUCGAGUUGGUUUUAGCAAUAUCAAAUUCAUCAUGACCAAAGUGAAGGAAUAACAAUUUAUAUUCCAAACAUUCAUACAUCCAUUGUAUAAAUGUAUUCCAUCUAUAGGAAUGUCAAUGUCUCAAGGGAGUUUGUGCACUUCCAUAUUAUAAGAGAUGACAUUGCAAUCUCAUUAUCACAACAUGAAUUGCCACUACCACAAUUAAUUAAAUUAAACAAUAGUCGGAAUUGCACCAUGCACUUCCAAAACCAAUAGCAACAGCCAACACAGAUGAAAAUUGGUCACCCACGUGUUUUCGAAGCCUAUUGUUAAAUAAAGAAGGAUGGAAGAAAUUAAAUUUGCUUUGGCAGCUUCUCCCACUAAUGGUCAUUGGUUUGAGUAUAACCAUUCAUACAAAGAAGUGUCCACAUAAGGUAAAACAAGACCAAAGUUAUUCAUUAUAUUGAAUCUCGAAUAUGUUGCAUUUUAACAAACCCAAAUUAGAGAAUAUUUUACUAUCAUUAUUCUCUCAAUGUAUAAUUUCAUGUAAGCAUCUAUUCACAUGCCAUUCACAAUAUUUUAAGAAAAGGGAUAGACAUAAUGCUUUUGAAAAUUAAACUGCCAUGGCUUGAAGACAAAAGAACUCAAGCCCUUCAUAAUUAAAUCUUUUAAACAAAUUGAAUUCUUGGAAUUCAAUCGAUACGUGAACGAAUAAGACUUAAUCAAAAUAAUACCCAAUGGAGCAUAACUGUUAAAAUGGUGUGAAUAGUAAAUAAUUCAUGCAAUAACAAAUUUAAAUCUCACACAUGCAUACACGUGCAAUUUCAUAGUCAGGCAUAUAAAAUAGAUUUUAUAGGUUAUCAAGCCACAUACUCAAGUCAUGUAACUUACUUAUCAAAAUAUAAAAUGUACAAAAAUAAAUUCAUCUUAAGAUUGUUGGGGAAUAUACUGAUUAUAUACAUAUUAUAUUCAUAAAAAAUAUACCGUUUAUGUUCACGAAAUUGAAAUAAGGUUUCGCCUUACCGAAAUGGAGUUUGAGAAGGAAAACAUAAAAGUUACCUAAUCUGAAUGCAUGGAUAUGGAUUCAUCCCUUUCGAUUCUUGAACGAAAGCAAAUUAUUCUUUUGAUCGAACUUUGCAACAUAAACAUGUAAACAAUGUUAAUCAUUUUCCGAAAUCAAAAUAUAAUCAAAAGAAAUCAGAAAACUACAGGAAGAAAGAUGCAAGUGAUGAAUUUUUGGUCGAGGCAAGUGUUUGACACUUGGUCCGUAAGAUGAAUUUGUCCCGCAUCGGUGCUAACGAUUUUUCGACAAUCAUCUCCGAAGAUACAAUGACCACGUCAAGCCAUAGGAACACUUCAAAUGAUUUCGACCAGCGAACUCGAACGGAAUUUCCUCUCUACCAAGGAAAUGCAUGAAAAUAUUAUAGAAUUAGAAGUAGAGAAUUGCAAGAGGAGAAUGAAUACUCAAUGCAAUUGGUGUACCCAAAACCAUGUCCAUAGGGUUCUACUUAUAGAUGUAGAAAGGGUGCAAAUAAAGUAGUGUAGGCUAAAACAUGCAUCCUUUCAAAAAGUUGCAACGCUUGGCCAAAACCUGCAUCAUUUCGAAAAAUUACAACACUUCAUUUCUUCCAAUAUUAGUCAGCAAUUUUUCAUUCAUCCAGAAUUGGUUUCGAGAUUUCAAAUAUACCAUGACGAUUUACUCGACGAGUAGAAUAAGUUGGUCUAUUUACUUUUGUAAUUUGACCAUUAGAUCAAGUCCGAAUAUUUGAUCGAAGUUGACACAUAGUCACACCUUUUCAUUUUCCACUUUUACACACCUUUUCAUUUUUCAAUUUUUGGUUAAUUAUUUGAAACAAUUCCUACAAGUAAAUCUCAACAGCAAGUUCCUCUGACAUUUUCAAAAACCUAGAAUGUGUUCAGCAAAUAAAAAAGUCAAAACACACCUUAUUUCCUUCUCAAGAUACAUCUCAACAGCAAGCAUGUCAACCUGAUAAAUGAUUUAAUAUGGUUCCUACUUUUGUCUAUAUAUUGGGAUGAAAGCGAUGAUCAUCAUAUCAACUGUGCCUACCUCCGAAUUUAACUGUAAAUUUGAUUUUGCUUCACUACCAGAAUCAGAACCAGAGUUUGACAGUCUUUGAAUCAGAUUCAGAAUGGAUUAGAACAAGAAUCUGCAUUUGAACAUCAUACUCCUGAUUUUUUUUAUUUUUUAAAUAAAAUUACGUCAGCCCCAACUCCCAAGCAGAUUUGGCUAAAUCAUUUCCUCCAAAAUCUUCACAUUGACAUUGAAGAAUAUUUGAUCUUCUUUCUUCAUUUUUUAUGUCCCUCUCCUCCCAGGUGAACUAGACCACCACCACACUACAGAAGCAUAACCUAUUUUUUUUUUAUGCCUUUUGGGUUACCAUGCUCAAGUGAAACGCCCAAUCCCACUAUCAACAAAAGCAUUGGGUAACUUUUCUUCUACCUACCUACCAUCCCUCGUGGGCCAAACCAACAAGGAGGCCAGAAUAACAACUCUAUCCAUCCCGCAACCAUUGCUAGACUCGAUUGAGCAGCCAUCAACUCUAAAACUCCUAACCAUUAGUCAGGAAAAUAACAUCCAUGUGUUUCUUACAAUCCGAUCCACAACAAAUUAACUGCAAAAUCUUGUAACUACGUGCUAACUUUGGAAAGAUAAAGAUAUAGAAUAAAGAUGAGAAUGGGAGUAAAUGAGCUUUGCCCAAGUACAACCAUUUCUCUCUUUUGCCGAAUAAAAGAUGGUGACUAUAUUCCAGAAUUUGGAAAUUGUAGCACUACAAAUUUUGGGUGGUGAAAGUGGUUUAGGUGGAGAGAGGUCUCUUGGUAGAUGACAAUGACCAUGGUAGCGAACAUUUAAUGGAGAAUAUGAUGGAUGAUGGUAGCAUGUUCGUGUUGCAGAUGUUUGAUUCAUCACCAUUGGAGGUAGGGAUGGCAAUGAGUGGAGCCGGUUUAUCCACGAGCUCUAUCGGAUGUGUUGUUAAAAGAAGUUGAAAAAGAAUUUCGAUUUAUGUGCAAUAAAAAUAUUUUAUUGUAAAAAUGUGUGAUUAAAAAUAAAUUUGCAAAAAAAAAAAAAAUGAGUUUUGUUUUGUACUUUUGAUGGUUGUCGAGUGGGAGUUUAGAUAAGUUACUUAUGUUUUCAAUGGAAAUUAAAUACUAAUUUCAUGCUUUGUUUGGAUAAAUUAUAAAUAAUUUAAAAAUGAUCAAACCGCAUUUUUAAUCUCACGUACUAUGCAUCUACUAUAAGUAGUUUAUAAUUAUUUAUAAAUUAUCAAAAUGGAAGCCAAAUCACACAUUCAUGUUUAUUAUUAUCUUAUUAUUGACACAUUUUUUGUAAUUCAUUACUCCUCUCGUUAUAAUCUUCAUAUAAGGAGAUUAAUGAAAUCCAAAUGCUCUUAGAUCAAUUUCCAACCUUUUUAGUAGUCUGAUCUCAACUUUUAAAAGUGAGGUUUGGCUCUCAACAUUUUUAUGUCUAUGAUUAUGUUUCUAAAUGAUUGCAACUAUUAAUGUGGAUGAUAAAAUUACACGAGAUUUUCACUUAAAUUGUACGAAAUAGUCAUUCACUUACUAUUCGUUUGAUGCAAAUUCAAAACAAUGCAUAAAUUAAGUAAAAAAUCAAACAUUAAAUUUAACGAAACAUUCAUAAUCCAUGAGACUCGUUACUUUUUUAUAAAUUUUUGAAAGAGAAUUGCUACUUUGAUAGAAAAUUUUAACAGAUGCUUUGAUAUAAUUUGAGGUGGCAGAAAAUAAUUUGACAUGAAAUUGAUUGUGUAUAAAAUAGUCCAAUAAUAUAAUAUUAUAUAAUAUUAACAUUAUAUCAAACUUUAUGUUAAAAAAUCUGAGCUAUAGCAUGAUUUUUUUUGAAAUCGUGAAAAGUCUUUAAUUUGAGUCCAGAUUGUGUCAAUACCAUUGGACAAUUAACCAUAAAAUUAAAAUAAGAAAAGACAAAAAGAAAAGUGUAGAGAGCAAGAAAAAGCAAGGCAAGGCACGAGAAAUAGGCUGUAUUGACCGUUUAGUUUGCUGGAUCGGUUCGAAUCUAGAAAAGAAAAAUGUAAUUUUCCUAUCUGUACAGGUCCCUUCAUAAUGGGGACUCACAUCGAAUAAAAAAAUCAUGAAUCCCAUGUUGUAGAAACUGUACAAGUCUAAUGCACACAUAGCAUCUUUCAAGAAAAAAUCCACCUUGUUGUGUAUCCUAUCAUCUGGUGCCACUUCAAGCCAACAUUCAACAAUUACAUAAUUAAUGACCUCCAAUUUAAAGUUUUUCUAUUCAAAAACUCUAAAUUAAAAUUCAUGAACAAUAUUGAAGAUGCUUUAAACUCAUCAGUUAAAAAUAAAAGUCGUUCAUUUUUUGACUUAAUCCAAUACUUUAUUCUACAAGCUGAUGAUAAUCGUACACUGUUUGUGUCCGCAAUGCCAUCAUAGCACCCAAGAAUUCAUGACAUGUAUCAUGAUAAUUGAUGAAAUUCUUUACUUCGCAUCGAAUUAUACCAUAUACUCCAACGGUCGAAAAAUGUGUUCCAUUUUCGAACGUUGAGAAGUUAGUUCAUCGAGUCAUUAAACUUAUCAAACUCCUAUUUCAUUUGAAUUAAAAUUUCAAGUUAUCUCAACAAUUAAUUUUGAGCACAUAUUUUAAGGAAUUCUUAACCUUUCAAUUAUAUAUUUCAUUAAUUUAUCAAAAAAUUAAUUUUAAUCUAUACCAAACAGAGCUAAUACGACAAAACAAUAGGUGGAAGUGGGAUUUGACUUGGUGCCAAUGAAUGUGGGAAGAAAUUAACCCUUAGCGUAUUAGGAGAAGCCUACUUCGACGCGGCCCCCUCAACUCAAUUGUUUACAUUUUCCUCUCUAUUUCCCCUCUCUCUCUUCACGCGGCUCCCUGGUUUUUGCUAUAAAUGAGUCUGCGAUCCUCUCCUCUCCAAACCACAUUCAAUCACAAGUCACAAGAUUUCACUGCUGAAGAAGGAAUUACUUUCUGCAGCAGAUUUCAUUUCUUUCACAUAAUUUAUUAAUCCAAAAAUGGCUUCCCGUUUUUCUAAUGCCAAGAUCGUAUCUUCUUUCAUCGCCAACACAGUCUGCCCUGUUGUCACCAGGUGUUUGAUUAUUCUAUACUAAAAUAGUUCCAUCUUGUGCGUUUUAAUAGAUUUCAAGUUAUUAAUUUAAGCUUUUAGAAGAGAUAACUAACAUUUGUGGAAUCAUUACUGACGUGUUAAUUUGUAUGGAUAUUUGUACAGGAGAGGAUAUGCGGCGGCCAGCAGUGUGAGAGGAGGGGCGGUGGCUCCUAAUAUGACUUUAAAGAAGGGAAUUGAUGAAUCAACAAAGACAUCAUGGGUACCUGACCCGGUGACCGGAUAUUAUCGGCCGGAGAAUGAAGCCAAGAAGAUUGACGCCGCUGAGUUGCGGGCACAGCACUUGAAGAACACAACCAGUAGCCACUAAAUCGAAGAAUUAUUUCAAUCUGAUUUUGGCUCCAUUUAUUCUACUAAUUAAAUGGAAUCCAUUGUUUUUCUUCAGAAAUUGUUCUACUGUUAUUGAAUUGAAUAUGUGCACUGAAUUGUUG
This 19735-nucleotide long non-coding RNA is filed under the name Olea europaea (common olive). RNAcentral's name for it is "long non-coding RNA (OEUR_LNC010913)". The stretch from base 11599 to 11704 matches the Rfam family "Plant small nucleolar RNA R71". The record is from RNAcentral. Lineage: Eukaryota; Viridiplantae; Streptophyta; Magnoliopsida; Lamiales; Oleaceae.